This 180-nucleotide ribosomal RNA is filed under the name Triticum aestivum (bread wheat). Its description in RNAcentral is "partial small subunit ribosomal RNA". Lineage: Eukaryota; Viridiplantae; Streptophyta; Magnoliopsida; Poales; Poaceae. The record is from RNAcentral.
AAGGCGCUAGCCUCCUUAAUGAUGCUUAUCUCAUGGGAGAUAUGGACAGAGCGUAACGCUAGGGUCUUUCGAAACACGCCCAUCCCUUCCAUGGUCCUAAUCUGUAAGAUCAAAGAAGAGGUGUCUCUUUGGGCAGUGGCGGGUGCAAAGCACAUGAGUGUUGUAAUGCCGCGAGACUAG